AAUGAAAUGCCUGAUAAAAGGCUUAUUUUGAUAGAAUAAAUCAUACAUUUAUUAAUUAAUGUUUUCAUUU
Molecule: transfer RNA, 70 nt
Filed under: Brachymyrmex patagonicus
Lineage: Eukaryota; Metazoa; Arthropoda; Insecta; Hymenoptera; Formicidae
Description: tRNA-Ile
Source: RNAcentral